Molecule: RNA transcript, 737 nt
Organism: Helianthus annuus (common sunflower)
Lineage: Eukaryota; Viridiplantae; Streptophyta; Magnoliopsida; Asterales; Asteraceae
Exons: 5
Source: RefSeq, a predicted model, not a curated record
GCCAGUUUUACGAGUCCUGCGUCUCAAAUAUUAGGGUUUUUAUAAAGAUAACUUCUCUCUCCAACAUUUGCCGCCCCACAUCGUAUUAUCGCAAGAACUUCAGCUCCAAUCUCUUUUGAUCGUCAUGGUUACAGGUUCAUACAUCUGAAUCAACUACUCUCCUUUUCGUGAUUGCAGUUAUUUGGCUUUAAAGCUUCAUUCAUCCGUUUGAGGAUCAAUAAUCUCUCCAAUCUCCUUCGCCAGCCGAUCAUAAGUUGGGCAGCUUUUGGAUCGUGGUGAGAAGAUCGAGUUAGUAGUUGACAAGAAAGAAACCUUCAAUCUCAAUGAUGAUGAGUGCUUCUCAUGCUGCUCCAGGCGAGGUGGGAAAGCACUGCCCAAGUCCAAGUACCCGAACCAAUCAAUCGCGAAUGGAUUUGGGUUGUAGGAGAAUUGAAAAGUCGAACUUGGUUAUCAAGGAGCUACUUAAGGAAAAAGAUGAAGAAAAAGAAAGAUUAAAUGGAGUUAUUGCGGGCUUAUUGGCUGAUAAAGAAAAAGAUAAGGUGGACAAAGAUGUCAUGCUCAAUAGGAUGUCACAAAUUGAAGCUACGUUAACCGCUAUGGUUCGAAGAUAGGCUAUAAACACUUGGUUUUGAAUGUUUUGAUGUUUUUCAUAUUAGGAUAAUUUCGGUAAUUUGUUGUUUUAGUUGGCAUUUAUAUUAGAAUGUUUUAUAGUUUUAUAUAUUUUUCGGGUUUUGUAA